GACCUCUGAACCUGAGCCUUGGAAAUUCCUUAAAAAGAUGAUGCUCAAAGGUAAGUAGAACGCCCCGUACUGAAGAAGAGAGGUGAAGGAGAGGCUAGGCACUAGAGCAGCGGGACUCCGCCUACCUUGCCCUCCUAUGCGCGUGCGCACCGCCUAUCGCUUAGCCACAGUAACCCCGUCGCGGACUCCGCCCAUUUCGGAUUUUUACC
Caenorhabditis elegans is the source of this 209-nucleotide non-coding RNA. NCBI's taxonomy places the organism in Eukaryota, Metazoa, Nematoda, Chromadorea, Rhabditida, Rhabditidae. The record is from Ensembl.